AUCCUGGCAUAGGAUUCAUGCUAGGUAGCAGUGUAAAGGAAUCCUUUAGUCCUUCAAAGGAUUCCUUUGACUAGAUUCGAGCUUGAAUCCUCAAUCCUUCACGCACAGACUGACGGGAAGGUUUCACAGAAGGCAACCCCACAAAAUGGCGGCGCCCCUAAUUUACGUGGGUCCAGAGGAUCGAAAGUGAAAUAAGGUCAUAGAAAUUUCCGGAGAAGUUAUUAUUGGCGGUUGCAACUUAUUUCUCAUCGAGGGAAGGUUUCAAGCUGCUGGUAGGCAUGUUGGGAAGCUGCCCAAAGCGAGGCCCGCGGUUCGGUUAAAAUUCGUCUGCAGGCGCUCGUCUGCGUUUGUUGUGGUUUUUUUGCAUCGAACUUACGGAUUGAUUUUGACUGUCUCUCUGGCUCUGGGAUUGCCUGAAGGAACAGCCCGUGGACAUCUAUAGUUGUUGGGACAACAGCAACAUUCUGUUUCAGCUGCUUGGAACUCAACCAUGAGAAUUCACUCCACCUCCCAGAAGUAUGGAUGAAUACUAGUACGUUUCCAACCCACAUGGAUCCUAAAGCCUGUCUGCGGCGCCAUGACGACUAUAGAUGUACAACUGGAUCAUCACCCAGAGCCCUAGCCUUAAAGUGUAUGAUGAUGCAGGACCUGCUUGGAGAUUAACCUGAAUGCCGAGAUGAGCAUGAUUGGGAUCCACACUGUUUUCCAUUCCUUUGUGGAAGCGCAAGGUGAGUGAAUAGAUGGACAGGUUCAUCAAACUAUGUGAGUCUUUAGUAUCACCAGAAAAAGCUGAUGCCUCUUUGCCUGUUGGAAUAAAAAAAAUUUGUACAAGUUACAUACAUCACACCAAUAAUUCUUUAUUGGUCAGAAAUUUUGGGUGCCUAAAAGCUUGAAAUACUGUCUGAUUCUUUUAGUUUAGGAUCUGGGUGGUAAAUCUCAAUUUUAUCCACAGUUCUAGAGCUAGAUUGAAUUGCAUUUGAUUUUUUUGUGUUUAAUUUGUAAUACUAUGUUCGCAGCAGUCUCUGAUAUGAAGAGAUUUCUUCAAUAUGUCCCCCAAAAUGGCAUAUAUAAAACAUUCAUAUGGCAGCCUGACAGGGUGGUGGAAAUUGGACUGCCAUUCCCAAGAUGAAAUAUUUUCUCCUGGACAGAGGAACAAUAUGGCCAAUCAAUUUGUUGACUUAGUCCUACAGCAGGGUAGCAGACUACCUUAGGAGAACAAUGGAAAAUUCCAAGCUUGUCACACCUUUUACCUGUCAUGCCAGACAGCCGGCUUGGGUUGUGGUAAUAGUAAGCUUGGGUUGUGGUGAUAACAAUAAACAGAGUGUCAAACACUGGAGUAUUUGAAGAGAAAAAUAGUUGUUUUCCAAAUUCAACAUAUAUACACACACAAUCAUAGGUCCCUGAGGGAUAUAAUAAGCUAAAAAGAACUAAUUUUGGUCCAACAGACCAGGAUGAUCUAGUUGUCAAACUGACUCAAAGGUGUGUAUCCUUGAUCUAAGCUAAAUGGCUUUGUACAGGACACAAUAUGUGCCUGGUGACAGCAUCCAUUCAUUCCCUCUGUUGAAAGACUUUCUUAUACAUGUACAGUGUGUUAAUGGUUGUCUAAAAUGGUAAUGGAGUGUUUGAUAGUGUAACAUCAUUUACUUGCUUUUAAUUGUAAUUCCUAGGAAAGAAAAUGUUGUGUUCCCUGUUUCAGUCCUGAAAAGAAUAGGGUCGCUGUACAACUCCUUUUAGGAGUUUCAGAAGAUCUGCAACAGGCAGCUCAGGAGAGGGAUGGAGUCACCUUAGACAGUGCUGUGGACCAGUAGGGAAGGGGAAAAGGAGCAGGAAGGACAAAGAAAAAGGGAAAGAAGAAUGUGCCCCCAAAUCAGUUUGAUUCAGAAGAUGACAUCCCUCUUACUGAACUGAUGUCCUAGGAAGAACGAGAUGGCUGUACUAGUAUGCAUGAGAGGGCUAUAUUAGCCUAUAUGUGCAUUUACUGUGACCUACAACAAAACACCUCAUUUUUAUUACUUACUAUUACGUAGUAACCUGGCUAGUCAAAAACAAACACAAUGUCUAGUUGAUGAAUGUUAGCAGACAGCAAAAUGUGAUGAUUUAAAAAGAAAUAAACAGAAAUUUCAUAUUCUGAAAAAGACAAUGGUGUUUAUUUUGUUCAACGUGUAUGCAACAUGAAUUUAGAUGGCGUCAUUA
Branchiostoma floridae (Florida lancelet) is the source of this 2193-nucleotide long non-coding RNA. RefSeq lists it as uncharacterized. The transcript is spliced from 5 exons. The record is from RefSeq and is a predicted model, not a curated record. Lineage: Eukaryota; Metazoa; Chordata; Leptocardii; Amphioxiformes; Branchiostomatidae.